This 901-nucleotide ribosomal RNA is filed under the name Pestalotia pitospora. Its description in RNAcentral is "LSU rRNA". It matches the Rfam family "Eukaryotic large subunit ribosomal RNA", at positions 38 to 963 of the family's 3401-position model. Lineage: Eukaryota; Fungi; Ascomycota; Sordariomycetes; Amphisphaeriales; Amphisphaeriaceae. The record is from RNAcentral.
GCAUAUCAAUAAGCGGAGGAAAAGAAACCAACAGGGAUUGCCUUAGUAACGGCGAGUGAAGCGGCAAUAGCUCAAAUUUGAAAUCUGGCGCUUGCGUCCGAGUUGUAAUUUGCAGAGGAUGAUUUUGGUUAGGUACCUUCCGAGUUCCUUGGAACAGGACGCCUUAGAGGGUGAGAGCCCCGUACGGUUGGAUGCCGAGCCUUUGUAAAUCUCCUUCGACGAGUCGAGUAGUUUGGGAAUGCUGCUCUAAAUGGGAGGUAAAUUUCUUCUAAAGCUAAAUACCGGCCAGAGACCGAUAGCGCACAAGUAGAGUGAUCGAAAGAUGAAAAGCACUUUGAAAAGAGGGUUAAAUAGCACGUGAAAUUGUUGAAAGGGAAGGAUUUAUGACCAGACUUUUUCUAGGAGGAUCAUCCGGUGUUCUCACCGGUGCACUUCUUCUAGUCUAGGCCAGCAUCGACUUUCGGCGGUGGAUAAAAGCUUUGGGAAUGUGACUCCUUUCGGGGAGUGUUAUAGCCUAUUGUAUAAUACACUGCUGGGGGUCGAGGUACGCGCUUCUGCAAGGAUGCUGGCGUAAUGGUUAUCAAUCACCCGUCUUGAAACACGGACCAAGGAGUCGAACAUUUGUGCAAGUGUUUGGGUGUUAAACCCUCACGCGUAAUGAAAGUGAACGGAGGUGAGAGCCCUUACGGGUGCAUCAUCGACCGAUCCUGAUGUUUUCGGAUGGAUUUGAGUAAGAGCAUAACUGUUCGGACCCGAAAGAUGGUGAACUAUGCGUGGAUAGGGUGAAGCCAGAGGAAACUCUGGUGGAGGCUCGCAGCGGUUCUGACGUGCAAAUCGAUCGUCAAAUCUGCGCAUGGGGGGCGAAAGACUAAUCGAACCAUCUAGUAGCUGGUUACCGCCG